Molecule: ribosomal RNA, 484 nt
Filed under: uncultured bacterium
Lineage: Bacteria
Description: partial 16S ribosomal RNA
Rfam family: Bacterial small subunit ribosomal RNA
Source: RNAcentral
AGCGAACGCUGGCGGCAGGCUUAACACAUGCAAGUCGAACGAUGAAGCUGGAGCUUGCUCCGGUGGAUUAGUGGCGAACGGGUGAGUAACACGUGAGUAAUCUGCCCUUGACUCUGGGAUAACUGCGGGAAACUGUAGCUAAUACCGGAUACGACACCUUCGGGCAUCCGAUGGGUGUGGAAAGAAUUUCGGUCAAGGAUGAACUCGCGGCUUAUCAGCUAGUUGGUGAGGUAAUGGCUCACCAAGGCGACGACGGGUAGCCGGCCUGAGAGGGUGACCGGCCACACUGGGACUGAGACACGGCCCAGACUCCUACGGGAGGCAGCAGUGGGGAGUAUUGCACAAUGGGCGAAAGCCUGAUGCAGCAACGCCGCGUGAGGGAUGAAGGCCUUCGGGUUGUAAACCUCUUUUAGUUGGGAAGAAGCGAAAGUGACGGUACCAACAGAAAAAGCACCGGCUAACUACGUGCCAGCCGCCGCCGUAA